This 73-nucleotide transfer RNA is filed under the name Dermacentor silvarum. RNAcentral's name for it is "transfer RNA glutamic acid (anticodon CUC)". Lineage: Eukaryota; Metazoa; Arthropoda; Arachnida; Ixodida; Ixodidae. The record is from RNAcentral.
GUUCCCGUGGUGUAGUGGUUAUCACGUGCGCCUCUCACGCGCAAGGUCCCCGGUUAGAUCCCGGGCGGGAACA